Molecule: non-coding RNA, 131 nt
Filed under: Chloroflexota bacterium
Lineage: Bacteria; Bacillati; Chloroflexota
Source: RNAcentral
GCCAGUGAAAUUCUGGCGCUGUCCCGCAACUGUGAAUUUAGUUAGGUAGUUGGAUAGUUACGUAGUUUUGUAGUUGGAUUUUGAACCAUGUAACUACUGAACCACAAAACUACCAAACUAAAUGAGUCAGG